CACCGACUGUGCUGGGUCACUUGGCUACGUAGGAGGUGGCUUGCGCACUGCUAACCAGCGGAAGCAGGCGGGAUUUGGGCGGGGUUGCGAGCGCUCUGGACUUUGUGCCCGGGCGGAGUGCUCCAGCCACCCGCUACAAAGACGUUACGCGCGGAAAUCAGAUCGGGGCUAGACUGACCCCUGUUGAGUUCCGGGGUCCUAUGGACAAAGAAAGUACUCGCGUAGGCCGCCAGAGAGACAACCCUGACAGAAGAUAGAAUCCUGAUCAAGGACCUCUUCCUGCCACUCUCAUCAAAAGCCAUCUUAAGUACUGAUGACAGCAGAGUUCUUCCAUGCUGGCGAGUGGAAAGGCAAGUCUUUAAGGACAUUAUCAUUGAGGCCGUUUAAAGUGCAAUUGGC
Molecule: long non-coding RNA, 399 nt
Filed under: Ictidomys tridecemlineatus (thirteen-lined ground squirrel)
Lineage: Eukaryota; Metazoa; Chordata; Mammalia; Rodentia; Sciuridae
Description: lncRNA (ENSSTOG00000030353.1)
Source: RNAcentral